This 537-nucleotide long non-coding RNA is filed under the name Ananas comosus (pineapple). Its description in RNAcentral is "long non-coding RNA (ACOM_LNC001834)". The record is from RNAcentral. Lineage: Eukaryota; Viridiplantae; Streptophyta; Magnoliopsida; Poales; Bromeliaceae.
UUGCAAUAGAAUGAAAUAAAAGAAUAAAAAAAAAAAUUUGUUUAAUAGGCAUAAAAAAUAGAGUAUAAAAAUCAUAAAAGUCUCAAAUAUAUAUUAUAGGAUAAUUAAAGCGCUCAGCAUCUUCAUGGACGAUGCGGUUAACCCGAAAAAUCCUUUUGUCAUUUAAGGCCUUUUUAAUUUUGAAAAUCACCCAAUGCUUUUAAACAAAACAGAGUUAGAAUGAAAUCAUAUAAGGAUAUGCUUCGCCGUUUUCUAGCAAGAUUGCACAAAAUAUAUCUUAACUGAUCAUAUCUAACACAAUCUCUCAACAAUCUUCAUGGACGAUGCAGUCGACCUGAAAAAUCUAAUAUCAUUUAGGGCUAAUUUGGUUUCGUAGACCAUCCAAUACUUUUAAACAAAAAGGAGUUACAAUGAAAUCAUUCAUACAAGAAUAUGCUUUUCUAUUUUCUAGUGAGAUAGCACAAAAUGUAUCUGAUCUGACCAUACAUAAUACAAUCUCUCCACAAUUUCAAAACAAAGCUUGACAACAAUACCUGC